AGAAAGAGGAUUAACUGAGGGGAAAGACCUACUGUUGUAGGUGGCACCAUUCCUUGGCCUCGUGGCACAAAGAUACGCUAAAUGAGGGGAAGGGUAAAGUCAGAAAACAAAUAGUUUACUAGCUUUCCCCAUGUCUCUGCUUCCUGACCCACUAUGACAUGAAUUGUUCUGCCCUGCCAUGCCCUCUCUCCAAUGGUGGACUGAACUGUAUACAAUGCUCUCAUCGUCUCCUGUGGGUAUUGCCAUUGGACAAACUCAACUGGAAUCCAGUGUGCACAGGGAUGUGGCAAGGCAUUUCAUGGAGAUCAAACUCCCUGAGCACAAAGCAGGAUGAAGAAGACAGGAGUAUGUCUAUAUCAAGAUUGUUAUAGAGUAUCCCAUAUUUAGGAUUCAUGAAUUGUUUAUACCAUCCAUGCUGAUGGGGUGGUUAAAGAUCUGGUUUUAGAGUAAAAAAAAAAAAGUC
Molecule: long non-coding RNA, 463 nt
Organism: Peromyscus maniculatus bairdii (prairie deer mouse)
Lineage: Eukaryota; Metazoa; Chordata; Mammalia; Rodentia; Cricetidae
Source: RefSeq, a predicted model, not a curated record